GUCCUGAGCGAGUCUGUCAGCUCCGAGCUCAGCUGCACGUCGAUGUCAGCCCUUUUUCCUUGGAACCAGUGUCCACGAAGAAGAGUUUUUCAUUUGGGGCCUCUGACAGCAAGCCACCGCUGGUGCGCUCCUGUAGCCGCACGUCUUCCAGGAACGGGUCAACCUCCAGCCCCAGCGGCUCCUGAGCAAGCCACCGCCAGCCCUGCUUCUUAUUUCUUGGGCCUCGCCGCC
Molecule: long non-coding RNA, 231 nt
Filed under: Pongo abelii (Sumatran orangutan)
Lineage: Eukaryota; Metazoa; Chordata; Mammalia; Primates; Hominidae
Description: lincRNA
Source: RNAcentral